This 486-nucleotide ribosomal RNA is filed under the name uncultured bacterium. RNAcentral describes it as "partial 16S ribosomal RNA". It matches the Rfam family "Bacterial small subunit ribosomal RNA", at positions 30 to 507 of the family's 1533-position model. The record is from RNAcentral.
AUUGAACGCUGGCGGCAUGCCUUACACAUGCAAGUCGAACGGCAGCACGGGUGCUUGCCCCUGGUGGCGAGUGGCGAACGGGUGAGUAAUACAUCGGAACAUGUCCUGUAGUGGGGGAUAGCCCGGCGAAAGCCGGAUUAAUACCGCAUACGAUCUACGGAUGAAAGCGGGGGACCUUCGGGCCUCGCGCUAUAGGGUUGGCCGAUGGCUGAUUAGCUAGUUGGUGGGGUAAAGGCCUACCAAGGCGACGAUCAGUAGCUGGUCUGAGAGGACGACCAGCCACACUGGGACUGAGACACGGCCCAGACUCCUACGGGAGGCAGCAGUGGGGAAUUUUGGACAAUGGGCGAAAGCCUGAUCCAGUAAUGCCGCGUGUGUGAAGAAGGCCUUCGGGUUGUAAAGCACUUUUGUCCGGAAAGAAAUCCUUGGCCCUAAUACGGUCGGGGGAUGACGGUACCGGAAGAAUAAGCACCGGCUAACUACGUG